CGAAAUUGAAAAACAGGCGCCAUAUUAAAAUGGCGACGGUUAGUGAAUCUGAUAAAUAAAAAUGAUUGGAUUUAUCGGAUAUUUGUUAUAGUUGAACGAAGUAUAAAAUUGCUAAUAGUAGAGGUUAACCUUCAUUAAAGAGAAUCGAUUUCCUCUUUGAAUCGCCGCUUCGAUUGAGGUUAGUAUGAUAUCGUAUUUGCGUGCAUGUUGCGGUUUUGACGACUUUAAUGGGGAUAUUUGGCACGGAUAGCACGCAAAAGAGAUAAGCUUUUUUGAUAAUUUGGGCGACUGUUUACUUAAUAUUUUACUUUAAGAAAUAUUUGAAAUAAAAAACACAUUUUAUCAACUUGAUAUUAGUGAGUGAUUGCUCAAUGAUUCGUCGAUAUUGGAUAAAGUUUGUUCGUCAUGGUGAAGGAUAUUAUGCCUGAGGUGAAAGCAAAUCCGUCCCAGAUUCUCCUGGAUGCUGUUAGGAAGAUUCGGGGUCAGAAACAACGACCGAACUUUGAUCGCCUUUCUCAUGCUGUUCGAUUACAAAAGUGGUCAACAGAGGUUCUAACAGAGUAUAUUAACAAAGCUGUUGAAGAUGGAAUUAUCCUGAGAAUGUAUGAUAACAAGGGUCUUAUGACGUAUAAAGAUCCUCAAACCGUUUCUAAACUCAAAACCAGGGAUUUGCAUGUAGGAGCCGCUUCGGAUUUAACUAAAGUUUUAAUCAGAACUUUGAAAGAAUUGGGCGAUCCUGCAGACAUAGAUCAGGUUGAAAAACAUAUUAGAACUGGCUAUCAUUUGACUAUGGCGUUCAAAGCUGAUUUGCGUCAGUCAAUUGAAAGCGCCUUGGAUAAAGGUGUAAAAUCGUCUAAGUUUCUGUAUAAAGAUGGAAAAUACUCUCCAAUAGAUGAUCACGAUAAAGCAGUUGCAGAUAUGGCAUCUUUCAAUCAGACGGGAGCGGCACCAGCUAAAACUACUUGCACUACCUGUUUAACCGGUUCAGGAAAAGAACAAGCUCUGUUAUCAUGCUUUGAUUGUGGUGAAAGCUGGCAUCCCAGUUGCUUGCGAAUUGGUGCUGAUUUGGCUAAAAAAAUCAAAACAAUGAGAUGGCAGUGUCGACAAUGUAAAACAUGUUCAGCUUGUGGAAAACGUUGUGAUAGUAACUUAAAAGUUUCGGAGAACACUGAAAACCCCAAAAUUGUACUCUGUCUACAGUGCGAUCGGGGAUUUCAUGCUGAAUGUUCGAAGAAAAGUAAGGAUGAGAAUUGGAUUUGUCCUUUAUGUUUAUCGGCACCAAAACUUAAAGCAAGAAAACGUAAAAGAUCAAAUAGUGAGAAAAGGACAAGAACCAGUUCUGGAGAUUUUAACGGACAGGCCUCGAAACGCUCAUUAAAAGAUAAAUACCCAACUUUACAUUCUUAUACCACAAAAACUGAUAAAUCUCCAGGAACUCUUCAAAAUUUUCCGUCUUCAGUCUUGAGUAGCAGUGAAUCAAAAGCUACCGGCGACAAUCAUACAAAAAAUUUAUUCGAUGGUUUAUCAAAUUUUUUUACGCCUAGUGGAAGCAGACGGAUGUCUAAUAGUUGUCCUCGAGCACCAGUUGAAGGGAAUAAUACCCGUAAUAAUAAUGAAAAUGAGACAGUUGUGAAGGAACCAACUGAUCGUUACAAAAAGUUAAAAAGUGUAAGAAAGAUGAAUAGUCACACAGAAUUUAGAAAUAGUGUAUUGAAAAAGUUUAAGAGGAAAUCUGAAAAUCGUCAGAGUUUAAAAAACAGAACUAACAAAUUACUAGAAAGAGUAAAGCAGGCAGAGGCGAAACUAACUCCUAGCACGUCUGGGUCAGAUACAGACACGGAUGUACUAUCUAUUAGAAGUAGUAGUCCCUUGAUUAUUGCCCAAAAUGUCACACCCCAUGUUAGUGCCCAAGAUGUGGAACUUUUUCAACAAGCUCGUGAGAAGGCUCUGGAGAGUUUAGCAACUUGCAUUGAAAACCCAUUAACAGCUGAUCGAUUUCCUGCUGCUAUAGCUUUUGGCCGCUACCACAUUGACACAUGGUAUUCAUCUCCUUAUCCCGAAGAGUAUGCAAAGUUGGCUCGGUUGUACAUUUGUGAAUUUUGUCUGAAGUAUAUGAAAAGUGAGAAAAUGAUUGAAAGGCAUAGAAGCAAAUGCUGUCUUUGGUCUCCACCAGCCAAUCAAAUCUGGCGUUCGGCUGAUUUGUCGAUGUGGGAGGUAGACGGCAGUAAACAGCGUAUCUACUGUCAAAAUUUAUGUCUGUUAGCUAAAUUGUUUCUAGAUCACAAAACCUUAUAUUUUGAUGUUGAACCAUUUGUAUUUUACGUUUUGACGAAAAGAGAUCUUCAUGGUGACCAUUUGGUUGGCUAUUUCAGUAAAGAAAAACAUUCUUCGCAAAAAUAUAAUUUAUCAUGCAUUAUGGUUAUGCCUCAGCACCAACGCAAAGGAUUUGGCAGGUUUUUAAUUGAAUUCUCAUAUUUACUAUCUCGAAAGGAAGGAAGAACUGGAACACCUGAAAAGCCUCUGUCUGAUCUUGGAAGAGUAUCUUAUGAAGCGUAUUGGAAAAACGUGAUACUAUUGUUUUUACACGAGCGCCGAAAGCAACGAUUAAUCCAAACAAUCUCAAUAGAGGAUAUUAGUAGGUACACAGGAAUGUGUCCACAUGAUAUUGUACACACUCUUAACCGAAUUGGUUUUUUGAAAAUCUCGGAUCGUCGCGUUUCUCUUUCUGUUGAUUGGUCGAUUGUAAGUGAUCAAGUAGAGAAGGAUAAGUCGAACUUAACGAGGAUUUCAUUGGAUGAAGAAAAAUUAAAAUGGAGUCCUCCAACGUCAAGCCCCGGUGAAGAUAAAGAUCUGACAGAAAUUCAGUUUGACGAUGACAGUGAAGCUAGAGGCAGUCCUGAAUUAAAGAAACAAAAUUAUAAAGGAAAAAACCACGUUGGAAAGAAUCGCAAAUGUUCUAACAUUUUAUCGGAAAAUCCACCUUUAACACCACCUAGCGAACAUGAAAAUGUUUGUCCAAAAAAUAAUCAGAAGCCUAAAUCAAAGCUCAGAAUGGAAAAUCAUAAAUUGCGAAAGACCAGUACCUCCAAUGAAGUUAACGAUAUCUCAAUGGUGAAGGAAAUGGGCAGAGGUCGGGGUAGACCAAGAAAAAUUCAGCAAGUGUUAAAUAAAUAUUUUUCACCAAUACCUGACGAAGCUCCAGUCACCGAAUCUCCUACUGAAUCUAUAACACACAAUUCUCCGCAUCAAUCUCCAUUAGCUGAUCAUUCUCCAGUUUCUAAUAAUUCAAUGAUGAGAAAAAUUAAUAGAAUAGGAAGAACAAAAAAGAAAGUUUCCCCAGUGAGCAAAAGUCAUGAUGAAGUAAGAAACGAAACAAACGAAAAGCGAGAUUCACCUCCUCCCCCUCCUGUUUUAACACCCGAGGAAAGUGAUGAAAUUAGUCCAACUUCUCCGGCGCCCAACUCAACUUCAUCAACAGGUAGUGAUGCAGAUGAUGAAUGUGACAUAUCAUCAAGCAGCUCAUCAACCACUAGUACCGAAAAUAAUUCAGGAUCUGACUCAUCUGGAGAAUGUGAGAUUGAUAACGAUGGAACUUCAAGUCAUAUUGCUGGAAUUGUCGCUGGUGAAAAGAAUGACGGAUUUUUGGUUGAGGAAAAUUUAAAUGGGAAUAUUGAGGAGAACAAGGAUUUAGAAGCAGUCUCUCUCAAUGACAUAGCAACUCAAAUUACAUCGCCAAAGUCUGUAUCAUCUUCAUCGUCUGAUUCUUCAUCUUCAUCAUCUACCUCCUCUUCAAGUAGCAGUUCUGCUGAUUCUUCAACUGAAAAUUCAUGUAUAGAAGCGGAGAACGAAUCUAUUCUUUUCGAAAGACCAAAUCAUGAUCCAGACCUUGAAGAUGAAGUCAAAAUUGACAAAGUUACCAUGGAUUUAACAAAAGACAAUCAAAUGCAUGAACAUCACGAAAUCAGUGAGAACCCUGUGAAUCUCCCCAUUGAACAGAAUAUAACUCAAAUUCAAAAUCAUUCUGAAGCAGUAAGACUAGAACAAGAGAAUGAAAGUAUGAUGUUCGAUUUAAUUGAUACACCGAUGACUCAACCAGAGGAGCAACCGUCUAUGAGACAGCCUUUUAGUGAUUGUGCUCAAACAUCAUAUAUGGCAUCUCCAGCUAGCAACUACAUUCCCUCAUCACCGGGAAGCACUCAUUCUGCAGCUUACAACACACCAAAUAAUUAUAUUCAUUCACCUAGCUACAUGCCAAAUCCAAGCCCUAAUUCAACAGGCCAGUACAGUCAGUCGGGAGCUGCAGCUGGAGCUGCAAGAAAUGGAUCUAAUACUUCCCCACCAGAACAAAUGUAUAAUAUGGCUUCUCCUUCACCAACUACGUUACCUCAGGCCUCUCCGAAUGCAACCUACAUGCUACCCCCACAAAUGUUAAACAACAGCAUGAUGAGAGUUGAUCAAACUACUGUUUCAGUUCUAUCCCAGAAGUAUAACGCUCCUGUGCAAUCGCAGCCAUACCUAGGUCGAGGAGAUUAUUCGCUAGCAAAACUUCAUGAGCUUGCGAAUGGAACUCCUCCAGUUAUGCAUAAUGGGUUAACUGGCCAUGAACAUGGACUAUCCCCAGGAAAACAUCCUCUGUAUCACCCAGGAGGAGCUCAAAUGUAUUCUGCUACAAACAAUAGCUGCUCUUCACGAGUAUUUGGGGGAAACCCUAAUGUUUCCUUACAGCCACCAGGAGGCACUAAUAUGAUUGCCGGUUAUUUCAACGCACCUCCACAAAUGAAUGGGGUUCGAGCCCAUAUGCAGCAAAUGCCCCCGCCAAUGCACCAUGGAGGGUGGAUGCCAUCAUCACAUAACACUGCAUAUGGAAUGAUGGGUAUGAUGCAGCAGAGCACAAAUGCGUCUCAACAAUGGAAUCAGCAAUCGUAUAUGACUCAAUUUAAUAUGACUGCAAGAAGGUAGCAGUGCUUUAAUGUGAUGUUUGCAUAUCUGCAUAACCACGUCAAAACUGUCGACUAAUGGUCACCUUUCAUUAAAUCCCAUGCAUAAAUGUGCUGUAAUUUUGGAAUAGCGACUGUCACUUCGUUUUUACUCAUUUCUUUAGAUAUAUUCGUUAUCAGCAGUUUAUACAUAUUCUGAUACAAAGAAUAAAUAAAGUACACACCAAUACGCGCAUACGCUAUGUAUAUUUAUAUGACGUAUGUGAGAGACAGUGUGUAUAUCUAAUAUC
RNAcentral lists this unclassified non-coding RNA (5227 nucleotides) under Dimorphilus gyrociliatus. RNAcentral describes it as "histone acetyltransferase". Lineage: Eukaryota; Metazoa; Annelida; Polychaeta; Dinophilidae. The record is from RNAcentral.